UGGGGAAUAUUGCACAAUGGGCGCAAGCCUGAUGCAGCCAUGCCGCGAGUAUGAAGAAGGCCUUCGGGUUGUAAAGUACUUUCAGCGGGGAGGAAGGGAGUAAAGUUACUACCUUUGCUCAUUGACGUUACCCGCAGAAGAAGCACCGGCUAACUCCGUGCCAGCAGCCGCGGUAAUACGGAGGGUGCAAGCGUUAAUCGGAAUUACUGGGCGUAAAGCGCACGCAGGCGGUUUGUUAAGUCAGAUGUGAAAUCCCCGGGCUCAACCUGGGAACUGCAUCUGAUACUGGCAAGCUUGAGUCUCGUAGAGGGGGGUAGAAUUCCAGGUGUAGCGGUGAAAUGCGUAGAGAUCUGGAGGAAUACCGGUGGCGAAGGCGGCCCCCUGGACGAAGACUGACGCUCAGGUGCGAAAGCGUGGGGAGCAAACA
RNAcentral lists this ribosomal RNA (427 nucleotides) under uncultured bacterium. RNAcentral's name for it is "partial 16S ribosomal RNA". It matches the Rfam family "Bacterial small subunit ribosomal RNA", at positions 355 to 774 of the family's 1533-position model. The record is from RNAcentral.